Molecule: long non-coding RNA, 699 nt
Organism: Lolium rigidum
Lineage: Eukaryota; Viridiplantae; Streptophyta; Magnoliopsida; Poales; Poaceae
Exons: 4
Source: RefSeq, a predicted model, not a curated record
UUGCUUGCACAGGCCUGCUUAUAAAAGGCAGAGACUGCCCAUUCGUCCUUACUUCGGCCAGUUUAGUUAGGACUGGCGAUGCUGAAGGCAAAAUUGAUGAGACCUUGAGUAUCGAGGUGUUUCUUCCACCAAAUCACUCUACAUAGGGGAUAUUGGAAUUGUAUCAUCAAAACUACAACAUUGCCAUUUUUCGUCUAAAACAUGACCUUACUACUCCUAUUUCUCCCCAAGAUAUCUUCUCUGUGAGGGAGUCUAGAAAUAAUAAGUCAGUAGUAGCGAUAGGGCGUGCGCCUAAAGGAGCUCACGGAUUAUUGAUGGCCUCAAUGGGUGAAGUGAAGGGUAAAUACAAUGUUGUUACUAAGCUUAAAAACAAGCAUUCGACUGGUCCACGCCAGGGUCUGGAUCUUGAUUGCGAAGAACUUCUUUUCUCCACUUGUCAAAUCAAGAAGGCUGGUAUUGGAGGCCCACUUAUAGGUUUGGAUGGUAGUUUCAUUGGCAUGAACUUUUAUGAUGAAAGUAGAACAACUCCAUUUCUGCCAAGGAUCGAGAUUCUAAGAGUUUUGUAUAAAGGGUUUAGUCUGUUAGAAAGAGGUCUGGUCAGUCGUCCUUUCAACAUGGACGACAUCUCGGACUAUUUGACUUCUAAGGGACCCAAGUUUAUCCCACGGCAGACGACUCGAAAGAGAAAGAGAAACCUGU